This is an RNA transcript of Leptopilina boulardi, 3735 nucleotides long. It is a transcript of the gene named nardilysin-like, with no coding region annotated. The record is from RefSeq and is a predicted model, not a curated record. NCBI's taxonomy places the organism in Eukaryota, Metazoa, Arthropoda, Insecta, Hymenoptera, Figitidae. The transcript has 14 exons.
CACUUGAAAAUGUCUUCUUGAAAUUAUCUCGUUUUCUAACCUCUAAAUUAUUAAAUUUAUUCUAUUUCACAUAAAUUAAUAUAAAUUUUUAGUAUUAAAAAAUAUAAAUUUUAUGCGUAUUUCACAUGUUUACAUUUCAAAAGUAUUAUCAGUCUUAUCAAGAUAUUAUGAUAAUAAAGUGCGCGAUUUGCUGAUAAUGCCAAAGAGGCAUUUACAAAUAGAUCCAAUUGUUAAAAAAUUAAAAUUAACGAAUGAUAAAGCAAAUCACGAAUUAAAAGUAAAUGAAAAAAAAAUGGUUAAUAAUUUAGAAAUUGAUUGUUCCACUGGUGAUUGUACAAAAGAUAUUAAAGUUGAAUAUCUCAAUACUCCUGUCAAAUCAGAAAAUGAUAAGAAAUUGUACAGAGUCAUUCGAUUAGAAAAUGGAUUAACCGCUUUACUUAUUGCUGAUACACAUAAUUCAACAGAGCUUAAAAAUGGAGACUGUGAUGUUGGUGCUGAGAAGUCAUCUGCAAGUGAUGAUUCAGAAGAAAGUGAGGAAGAUGAGGAAGUAAGUGAUGAAAGUGAUGAAAGUGACGAGGAUGACAAUGAAGAGUCUGAUAAUGAAUGCGAUGAUGAUAUCGAAUUUUCAAGCUCAGCUAAACGUUCCAGUAAAGAAGAAAAAAAGGCUGCGUGUGCUUUGUGUGUUGGCGUUGGAAGUUUUAGUGAUCCACCUGAAAUUCAAGGAUUGGCACAUUUUCUCGAACACAUGGUAUUUAUGGGCUCUGAAAAAUAUCCCGAGGAAAAUGAUUUCGAUUCGUUUAUAAAAAAACGUGGUGGUUCAGAUAAUGCCUCAACGGAAUGUGAACAAACAACAUUUCACUUUGAAAUUCAAGAGAAACAUUUACCUCAAGCAUUAGAUCGUUUCGCGCAAUUUUUUAUUAAUCCACUUAUGAGACGAGAUGCUAUUACUCGUGAACGUGAAGUCGUUGAAAGUGAAUUUCAAAUGGCCUUACCUUCUGAUUUAUAUCGGAAGGAGCAAUUAUUUUGCAGUUUUGCUAAACCUAAUCAUCCCGCAACAAAAUUCCCUUGGGGAAAUUUAACGACAUUACGAGACUCAAUUGAGGACGAUAAAUUAUAUGAGGAACUUCAUAAAUUCAGAGAACGACAUUAUAGCGCACAUAGAAUGACGUUAGCAGUUCAGGCUAGACUUUCGUUAGAUGAACUAGAACAAUUAGUGAAAGAUUGUUUCUCCGAUGUGCCAAGCAAUGGCUUGCCACCUGAUAAUUUUACCAAAUUUAAAGGUGCUGAUUCUUUUGAUACGUCCGAUUUUCGAAAAAUGUAUAAAAUGAAACCGUUUAAAGACAUUUGUCAGAUUGAAUUGACGUGGUCAAUGCCAACGUUACAUCAUUUAUAUAAAAGUAAACCGCAUCAAUACGUUUCGUGGAUAAUAGGUCAUGAAGGUAAAGGAUCAUUGAUAAAUUAUCUUAGGAAAAAAAUGUGGUGUCUGGAUAUAUUCAGCGGAAAUGCAGAAGGAGGUUUUGAACACAGUUCCAUGUACGCUCUCUUCAGUUUGUGUUUAACUCUCACAGACGAGGGUCACAGAAAUUUGAAACAUGUUCUCGAGGCUGUAUUUUCAUACAUUAAUAUGAUACGGAAAAAUGGUCCCGAUCAAAGGAUUUACAAUGAAAUUUUUCUCAUUGAAAAAACUAACUUCAAAUUCAUGGAUGAGGAGGACCCAGUUGACUAUGUUGAAAGUCUUUGUGAAAAUAUGCAUUUUUAUGCGCCCGAAGAUUAUAUAUCGGGUAGCGAUUUAUAUUUUGAAUAUAAUCCAAGUGGAAUUCAGGACUGUAUGAAUAUGUUAACGGCUGAUAAUGUGAAUAUUAUAAUUUUUGAUAAAAAAUUCAACGAAGAGGAAUUAAAGAACAUUGAACCGUGGUUUAAAACAAAAUAUUCGAGAAAUUCAAUUCCAGAUGAAUGGAUAGAAACGUGGAAAAUUAUUGAACCACUACCUGAAUUUCAUUUACCGGAACCGAAUAUUUUUAUAACCACUGAUUUCAAAUUAAUGACAUUGCCUGAUAAUGUGCCGAAAUAUCCGACAAAAAUUUACUCUGAUGAGAUUUUUGAAGUUUGGUAUCGACCUGAUCCUAAAUUUCGAUUACCGGAAGCAAUGAUGUAUUUUUAUUUAAUUUCACCGAGCUCAAUUGCUACACCAGAAGGUUGCGUAAUGAUGGAUUUAUUUAUUGCGAUAUUGAAGCAAAUUUUGGUGGAGAAAAUAUAUGCAGCAACGGCAGCAGAACUUCAACACUCUAUUUAUACAUGUGAUAAAGGCGUUGUAUUAAAAUUUAAUGGAUAUAAUCAAAAAUUACCGCUCUUGAUGAAUACUGUCAUUGAAUGUAUGGCUGAAAGUCCGAAUUUAAUAUCAAAGGAAUUAUUCGAUGUCAUGAAACAGGAACAACUAAAAGCUUAUUAUAAUAAUUUCCUCAAGCCUAGUAAAUUAGUCAAAGAUAUUCGAUUGUGUAUUCUUCGUUUGCGUCAUUUUUCAUCGACUGAUAAAUAUGCUGCUAUUGCAGCUAUUGAUUAUGAUCAAUUUUUGAAUUAUGUGAAACAUUUCACGAAUCAUCUUUUUAUUCAGUGUUUGGUGCAAGGGAAUAUGACAAUGGAGGAUGUGAUUGAAAAUGUGACAAAUUGUAAGAAAAUAUUAAAAUGUGGAUCACUCUUGCCAAAUACAAUGCCAGAAAUCAGAGUUACGCAAAUUCCUCUUGGAAUUCAAUGUUGUAGAGUUAAAAAUUUUAAUAGUUCCGAUGCAAAUUCGGUGAUUACAAAUUAUUAUCAGUCAGAAACUUCGAGCAUUAAACUCACGGCUAUUAUUGAAUUAUUAAUGAUGAUUAUGGAAGAACCUCUUUUCAAUCAGCUGAGAACUUUGGAACAGCUUGGAUACAAUAUUAAUUGCCUAAUAAGAGAUACAUUUGGAAUUUUAGGAUACAGUAUAACUGUGUACACGCAAGCAACAAAAUUCACUACAGAUUAUUGUGACAAUAGAAUAGAGGAAUUUAUGAAAUUAUUCAAAGAUUUGUUAGCAAAAAUGACAGACGAUGAAUUCAGUAAUGUGAAGGAAGCCCUCAUAAAAAUGAAACAAACUGUCGAUAUUGAUUUGACGGAAGAAAUUGACAAGAAUUGGGCUGAAAUAACAACGGGUGAAUAUUUAUUUGAUCGUCUUGAGCGUGAAAUAACAGCGAUUGAUGGCAUUAGUUUGGAUGAUUUGAGAAAAUGGGUCGAUGCACAUACAAAAGACGGUAGCAAUUUUCGAAAACUUAGUAUUCAAAUUCAAGGAUCGGAUGAGAAAAACGAUGAUGCUGAUGUUCCCUGUGAUCAUGAAUCAAGAGACGAGAUAACUCACAAUCAGGAGAACAAUUGUGAGAACAAUUUUUUAAAUAUUAUAUUUUGAUGCUUUUUUUUUUUUGUCAUACACAAUUUGCAAAAAAAAAAAAAUUUUUUUGUUUUCGAUACAAUUUUAUCGAUUGUUUUAAUUUUUAUUAUGUGAACGAGGAAAAAUGAAAUUUCCUUUAAAUUAUGUGACGAGUAAUUCAUCGAACGAGGAAUGUUGUAUUUUAAAUAUUGAAGAGUUUAAAAAGGAACUAAAGGUUUAUCCUAUUAAAAAGACUGCCUUAUGAUGGCAUUUUUAAAUUAAUAAUAUCUUAAAACCACUUGUGCAUUUAUCGAGCAAGAUGUAAAAUAAAUUCAUUUAUAUUAUAGAGA